This 253-nucleotide ribosomal RNA is filed under the name uncultured bacterium. RNAcentral describes it as "partial 16S ribosomal RNA". It matches the Rfam family "Bacterial small subunit ribosomal RNA", at positions 524 to 776 of the family's 1533-position model. The record is from RNAcentral.
UACAGAGGUCUCAAGCGUUGUUCGGAUUCAUUGGGCGUAAAGGGUGCGUAGGUGGCGCCGUGAGUCGGGUGUGAAAUUUCGGAGCUUAACUCCGAAACUGCAUUCGAUACUGCGGUGCUUGAGGACUGGAGAGGAGACUGGAAUUCAUGGUGUAGCAGUGAAAUGCGUAGAGAUCAUGAGGAAGACCAGUGGCGAAGGCGGGUCUCUGGACAGUUCCUGACACUGAGGCACGAAGGCCAGGGGAGCAAACGGG